AUGGGAACGCGAAGAACCUUACCUAGACUUGACAUCUCCUGAAUAGUGUAGAGAUACAUGAAGCCCUUCGGGGCAGGAAGACAGGUGGUGCAUGGUUGUCGUCAGCUCGUGUCGUGAGAUGUUGGGUUAAGUCCCGCAACGAGCGCAACCCUUAUUACUAGUUGCUACCAUUAAGUUGAGCACUCUAGUGAGACUGCCCGGGGUUAACCGGGGAGGAAGGCGGGGAUGACGUCAAAUCAUCAUGCCCCUUAUGUNUAGGGCAACACACGUGCUACAAUGGUGAGUACAGAUAGAUGCGAUACCGCAAGGUGGAGCCAAACUCUAAAACUCAUCCCAGUUCGGAUUGUAGGCUGCAACUCGCCUACAUGAAGUUGGAGUUGCUAGUAAUCGCGAAUCAGAAUGUCGCGGUGAAUACGUUCCCGGGUUCUUGUACACACCG
RNAcentral lists this ribosomal RNA (439 nucleotides) under uncultured bacterium. Its description in RNAcentral is "bacterial SSU rRNA". It matches the Rfam family "Bacterial small subunit ribosomal RNA", at positions 954 to 1392 of the family's 1533-position model. The record is from RNAcentral.